Molecule: ribosomal RNA, 447 nt
Filed under: uncultured Hyphomicrobiales bacterium
Lineage: Bacteria; Pseudomonadati; Pseudomonadota; Alphaproteobacteria; Hyphomicrobiales
Description: bacterial SSU rRNA
Rfam family: Bacterial small subunit ribosomal RNA
Source: RNAcentral
AACGAACGCUGGCGGCAGGCUUAACACAUGCAAGUCGAGCGCCCCGCAAGGGGAGCGGCAGACGGGUGAGUAACGCGUGGGAAUCUACCUUUUGCUACGGAAUAACGCAGGGAAACUUGUGCUAAUACCGUAUGUGUCCUUCGGGAGAAAGAUUUAUCGGCAAGAGAUGAGCCCGCGUUGGAUUAGCUAGUUGGGGGGGUAAAGGCCUACCAAGGCGACGAUCCAUAGCUGGUCUGAGAGGAUGAUCAGCCACAUUGGGACUGAGACACGGCCCAAACUCCUACGGGAGGCAGCAGUGGGGAAUAUUGGACAAUGGGCGCAAGCCUGAUCCAGCCAUGCCGCGUGAGUGAUGAAGGCCCUAGGGUUGUAAAGCUCUUUCACCGGAGAAGAUAAUGACGGUAUCCGGAGAAGAAGCCCCGGCUAACUUCGUGCCAGCAGCCGCGGUAA